This 497-nucleotide ribosomal RNA is filed under the name uncultured bacterium. RNAcentral's name for it is "partial 16S ribosomal RNA". It matches the Rfam family "Bacterial small subunit ribosomal RNA", at positions 28 to 507 of the family's 1533-position model. The record is from RNAcentral.
GAUGAACGCUGGCGGCGUGCCUAAUACAUGCAAGUCGAGCGAACAGACGAGGAGCUUGCUCCUCUGACGUUAGCGGCGGACGGGUGAGUAACACGUGGAUAACCUACCUAUAAGACUGGGAUAACUUCGGGAAACCGUAGCUAAUACCGGAUAACAUGUUGAACCGCAUGGUUCAACAGUGAAAGACGGUCUUGCUGUCACUUAUCGAUGGAUCCGCGCCGCAUUAGCUAGUUGGUAAGGUAACGGCUUACCAAGGCAACGAUGCGUAGCCGACCUGAGAGGGUGAUCGGCCACACUGGAACUGAGACACGGUCCAGACUCCUACGAGAGGCAGCAGUAGGGAAUCUUACGCAAUGGGCGAAAGCCUGACGGAGCAACGCCGCGUGAGUGAAGAAGGUCUUCGGAUCGUAAAAAUCUGUUAUUAGGGAAGAACAAAUGUGUAAGUAACUAUGCACGUCUUGACGGUACCUAAUCAGAAAGCCACGGCUAACUACGUG